Molecule: long non-coding RNA, 540 nt
Organism: Cryptomeria japonica (Japanese cedar)
Lineage: Eukaryota; Viridiplantae; Streptophyta; Pinopsida; Cupressales; Cupressaceae
Exons: 4
Source: RefSeq, a predicted model, not a curated record
GUUGAUGACAUAGGAGGAGUUGACACAUGUCCAUGAUGGCACCUUGACGACCAUUUCAUUUGGCCUUGACAGCUAUACGGACACAAGUAACGCGAGUUCAGUGCCGCGUGAUUCAAGCCUUGGUAGUGCAUUCAAAGACAAGGGAAAGGUAAUUGAAUGCAAACAUGAUUGGAUUAAGAGUUAAAAUAACUUAUAAUGAUUAUACAUGUCUACAUAGAUAAAUAGUUUCUCAUACUUGUCGUCUUUAUGUACAAAAAAUUGUUGGCUUCACAUCCUUGUUGACUGCACCCACUAUACCUAAAGAAGAAGAAGAGAUGCCUCAGGUUGUGUAUGAAAAUCUUGAUGACAUACCUCCUCUAGCGAAGACAUAUGUCAAGACUCCUCCAAAGAUGAAGAGGAAACGUGGAGAUGAGGAUCCUUAUAGAGUAGUAGUGCGGCGAAGAGGAUCAAUUUCGAUGAUCCAUCAGUAGUUUAGGAUAUUAUAGAUCAUUUUGGGAUACUUACAUGUCUAGUUGGCAUGUAUAUUUUGUAUAUGGACAC